Oryza sativa Indica Group (long-grained rice) is the source of this 206-nucleotide microRNA precursor. It matches the Rfam family "MIR812 microRNA precursor family". NCBI's taxonomy places the organism in Eukaryota, Viridiplantae, Streptophyta, Magnoliopsida, Poales, Poaceae. The record is from Rfam.
AAAAAAGCAAACCCUGAGUUUCUGUGUCCAACUUUAACUGUCCGUCUUAUAUAAAUUUUUUUAUAAUUCGUAUUUUUAUUGUUGUUAGAUGAUAAAACAUGAUUAAUAUUUUAUGCGUGACUUGUCUUUUUUAAUUUUUUUUCAUAAUUUUUUCAAAUAAGACGGACGGUCAAACGUUGGGCACGAAAACCAGGGUUUGUCUUUUU